AAAUUGAAGAGUUUGAUCAUGGCUCAGAUUGAACGCUGGCGGCAGGCCUAACACAUGCAAGUCGAACGGUAACAGGAAGCAGCUUGCUGCUUCGCUGACGAGUGGCGGACGGGUGAGUAAUGUCUGGGAAACUGCCUGAUGGAGGGGGAUAACUACUGGAAACGGUAGCUAAUACCGCAUAACGUCGCAAGACCAAAGAGGGGGACCUUMGGGCCUCUUGCCAUCGGAUGUGCCCAGAUGGGAUUAGCUAGUAGGUGGGGUAACGGCUCACCUAGGCGACGAUCCCUAGCUGGUCUGAGAGGAUGACCAGCCACACUGGAACUGAGACACGGUCCAGACUCCUACGGGAGGCAGCAGUGGGGAAUAUUGCACAAUGGGCGCAAGCCUGAUGCAGCCAUGCCGCGUGUAUGAAGAAGGCCUUCGGGUUGUAAAGUACUUUCAGCG
RNAcentral lists this ribosomal RNA (444 nucleotides) under Escherichia coli. RNAcentral's name for it is "bacterial SSU rRNA". It matches the Rfam family "Bacterial small subunit ribosomal RNA", at positions 1 to 441 of the family's 1533-position model. The record is from RNAcentral. Lineage: Bacteria; Pseudomonadati; Pseudomonadota; Gammaproteobacteria; Enterobacterales; Enterobacteriaceae.